GGUAUUCACUGAUAAUUUUAAUAAUCAACAGAAAAAAAGGAGUUUUUAAAGUAAAUCAACUGACCUGAUCUUGUGAUUCAAACUAAAAUGUUGGUUUGGGUCAGUCAGGUUGAUUCAAGUUGUGAGCAGCUCUAGUAAUAGUUAAUCAACAUUUUGCAUUUGCAACUGUGCAAUAUGUUGCAUUUGUAUAUUUUGUUAAUAUUGAUCUCAGCAGAUGCUGCAUUAUGGAGAUGCAAAGGGACCGCACUUCACUGAUGAUAGCUAUUGGCUACUGUUACAUUUAUUUAUUUAAUAUUUAAUUUUUC
RNAcentral lists this unclassified non-coding RNA (305 nucleotides) under Hevea brasiliensis (rubber tree). The record is from RNAcentral. Lineage: Eukaryota; Viridiplantae; Streptophyta; Magnoliopsida; Malpighiales; Euphorbiaceae.